AAAAAAAUAUUUUUUAAAAAAUAAUUUUAGUUUGACAAACUAAUGUUAUAAAGUAUUUAACUAAUUUUUU
Molecule: transfer RNA, 70 nt
Filed under: Polypedilum masudai
Lineage: Eukaryota; Metazoa; Arthropoda; Insecta; Diptera; Chironomidae
Description: tRNA-Asp
Source: RNAcentral